RNAcentral lists this ribosomal RNA (1346 nucleotides) under uncultured bacterium. RNAcentral's name for it is "partial 16S ribosomal RNA". It matches the Rfam family "Bacterial small subunit ribosomal RNA", at positions 28 to 1381 of the family's 1533-position model. The record is from RNAcentral.
GACGAACGUUGGCGGCGUGCUUAACACAUGCAAGUCGAACGGAAAGGCCCUGCUUUUGUGGGGUGCUCGAGUGGCGAACGGGUGAGUAACACGUGAGUAACCUGCCCUUGACUUUGGGAUAACUUCAGGAAACUGGGGCUAAUACCGGAUAGGAGCUCCUGCUGCAUGGUGGGGGUUGGAAAGUUUCGGCGGUUGGGGAUGGACUCGCGGCUUAUCAGCUUGUUGGUGGGGUAGUGGCUUAUCAAGGCUUUGACGGGUAGCCGGCCUGAGAGGGUGACCGGCCACAUUGGGACUGAGAUACGGCCCAGACUCCUACGGGAGGCAGCAGUGGGGAAUAUUGCACAAUGGGCGGAAGCCUGAUGCAGCAACGCCGCGUGCGGGAUGACGGCCUUCGGGUUGUAAACCGCUUUCGCCUGUGACGAAGCGUGAGUGACGGUAAUGGGUAAAGAAGCACCGGCUAACUACGUGCCAGCAGCCGCGGUGAUACGUAGGGUGCGAGCGUUGUCCGGAUUUAUUGGGCGUAAAGGGCUCGUAGGUGGUUGAUCGCGUCGGAAGUGUAAUCUUGGGGCUUAACCCUGAGCGUGCUUUCGAUACGGGUUGACUUGAGGAAGGUAGGGGAGAAUGGAAUUCCUGGUGGAGCGGUGGAAUGCGCAGAUAUCAGGAGGAACACCAGUGGCGAAGGCGGUUCUCUGGGCCUUUCCUGACGCUGAGGAGCGAAAGCGUGGGGAGCGAACAGGCUUAGAUACCCUGGUAGUCCACGCUGUAAACGGUGGGUACUAGGUGUGGGGUCCAUUCCACGGGUUCCGUGCCGUAGCUAACGCUUUAAGUACCCCGCCUGGGGAGUACGGCCGCAAGGCUAAAACUCAAAGGAAUUGACGGGGCCCCGCACAAGCGGCGGAGCAUGCGGAUUAAUUCGAUGCAACGCGUAGAACCUUACCUGGGUUUGACAUGGAUCGGGAGUGCUCAGAGAUGGGUGUGCCUCUUUUGGGGUCGGUUCACAGGUGGUGCAUGGCUGUCGUCAGCUCGUGUCGUGAGAUGUUGGGUUAAGUCCCGCAACGAGCGCAACCCUUGUUCACUGUUGCCAGCACGUUAUGGUGGGGACUCAGUGGAGACCGCCGGGGUCAACUCGGAGGAAGGUGGGGAUGACGUCAAGUCAUCAUGCCCCUUAUGUCCAGGGCUUCACGCAUGCUACAAUGGCUGGUACAGAGAGUGGCGAGCCUGUGAGGGUGAGCGAAUCUCGGAAAGCCGGUCUCAGUUCGGAUUGGGGUCUGCAACUCGACCUCAUGAAGUCGGAGUCGCUAGUAAUCGCAGAUCAGCAACGCUGCGGUGAAUACGUUCCCGGGGCU